GGAGGCGCUUGUGUUCUGGUGUGCACCCCGGUCUUCAAAACCGGUGGACGGCGCGCGGCGUCGUCGGCGGGUUCGAUUCCCGUGCGCCUCCGCUCCA
This 97-nucleotide transfer RNA is filed under the name Nonomuraea turcica. RNAcentral's name for it is "tRNA-Sec". It matches the Rfam family "Selenocysteine transfer RNA". The record is from RNAcentral. RNAcentral also lists the same sequence under 1 other name. Lineage: Bacteria; Bacillati; Actinomycetota; Actinomycetes; Streptosporangiales; Streptosporangiaceae.